Molecule: ribosomal RNA, 549 nt
Filed under: Curtobacterium sp. WB70
Lineage: Bacteria; Bacillati; Actinomycetota; Actinomycetes; Micrococcales; Microbacteriaceae
Description: bacterial SSU rRNA
Rfam family: Bacterial small subunit ribosomal RNA
Source: RNAcentral
AACGGGUGAGUAACACGUGAGUAACCUGCCCCUGACUCUGGGAUAAGCGUUGGAAACGACGUCUAAUACUGGAUAUGAUCACUGGCCGCAUGGUCUGGUGGUGGAAAGAUUUUUUGGUUGGGGAUGGACUCGCGGCCUAUCAGCUUGUUGGUGAGGUAAUGGCUCACCAAGGCGACGACGGGUAGCCGGCCUGAGAGGGUGACCGGCCACACUGGGACUGAGACACGGCCCAGACUCCUACGGGAGGCWGCAGUGGGGAAUAUUGCACAAUGGGCGAAAGCCUGAUGCAGCAACGCCGCGUGAGGGAUGACGGCCUUCGGGUUGUAAACCUCUUUUAGUAGGGAAGAAGCGAAAGUGACGGUACCUGCAGAAAAAGCACCGGCUAACUACGUGCCAGCAGCCGCGGUAAUACGUAGGGUGCAAGCGUUGUCCGGAAUUAUUGGGCGUAAAGAGCUCGUAGCGGUUUUGUCSCGUCUGCUGUGAAAUCCCGAGGCUCAACCUCGGGCUUGCAGUGGGUACGGGCAAACUAAAGUGCGGUAGGGGAAAUGG